UGGGGAAUAUUGCGCAAUGGACGAAAGUCUGACGCAGCGACGCCGCGUGAGGGAUGAAGGUCUUCGGAUCGUAAACCUCUGUCAGGAGGGAAGAAAGCGCAUGGCGCCAAUCAGCCAUGCGUUGACGGUACCUCCAGAGGAAGCGCCGGCCAACUCCGUGCCAGCAGCCGCGGUAAUACGGAGGGCGCGAGCGUUAAUCGGAAUUACUGGGCGUAAAGCGCGCGUAGGCUGUGGAGUAAGUCAGGGGUGAAAGCCCGCGGCUCAACCGCGGAAUUGCCUUUGAUACUGCUUUACUUGAAUCCGGGAGAGGGUGGCGGAAUUCCAGGUGUAGGAGUGAAAUCCGUAGAUAUCUGGAGGAACACCGGUGGCGAAGGCGGCCACCUGGACCGGUAUUGACGCUGAGGCGCGAAAGCGUGGGGAGCAAACAGG
This 429-nucleotide ribosomal RNA is filed under the name uncultured bacterium. RNAcentral describes it as "bacterial SSU rRNA". It matches the Rfam family "Bacterial small subunit ribosomal RNA", at positions 355 to 776 of the family's 1533-position model. The record is from RNAcentral.